Piliocolobus tephrosceles (Ugandan red Colobus) is the source of this 2210-nucleotide long non-coding RNA. The record is from Ensembl. NCBI's taxonomy places the organism in Eukaryota, Metazoa, Chordata, Mammalia, Primates, Cercopithecidae.
CUUCUGAAUUAUAAAAAAAAGAAAAAAAAAACACUUUUUUUUUCUUUUUUUUUAUAAUUCAGAAGAAACAUUUAAUAAUAGAUAAAGUAUACUAAUAGAUGCAUAAUUAAAUUAGUAAACGACAUAGUAGUAAAUAUAUUUUUUAUAAGUUCAUAUUAUCAAAUUUAAAAUUACAACUAAAGCAUUUAAACAAUGUUAUAAGUUAGAGUAACUGUUAGAUAAAUAUAAAAAAGAAGAUAAUUGAACAUGCAUAUAUAUAUAUAUAUGUGUGUAUAUAACUUCUCAUUGCUACACUAUAUUUUAAAUGGCAUAUAAACAAAAAUAUUAGAAUGGUAAUAUAUAAAUGUAUGCAUGAAGCAUAUGCACAUAUGUAUAUAUAUUUUUUUUAUGCAUUUUUCUAACGUUUCUUAUACAACAUCCCUUAAUUUCUUACACAACAACACUACACAUGUAUGUAAAUCAAAUUACAUACUAUGCAAAAAAAAAAAAAAAUGAAUCAAAUAUCAAAUAAACAUGUAAAUAUAAAAAUAGUUAACCAAAUAAUUGGCCAAAAUGUUAACCAAACAAAUUAACCUACCAAAUAAAAUAUUAUAACCAUUUUAUUAUUAAAUCUAUUAAUUUAUUUUUUGAAUUAUUUAUUUUACACUGUUUAAGAAUCUUUUGUAGAAAAAAAAUAUACGAUAUCAUUCAUUCAUUAAAUUAUAAAAGCAAAAACAUACAAGAAAAAAAAAAAGAAACACAAAAAAUAAUGGAAUUACCACGAGAAAUUAUAAAAUGGCUGCAAAAUUUAAAUUUGCCUUACUCUUUUACAAAUAUUAAAAUUGCCAGUAAUGGGAUAAUCAUUUCGGAAAUUAUAAACAUAUAUAUGCCUAAACGCAUUAAUAUGAACAGCUUAGAAAAUGGUUCUAGUAAAGAGAUAAAAAAAAAAAACUGGCAAAUCAUAAAAAAAACUCUAACCAGUUUUAAUAUACAAUUUGAUGAACUGUCAGUAAUUAAUUCAGACAAAGAAGCAUUAAAAAAUUUAUUCAUUGAUUUGUACGAAUAUUUAACAAAAAAAAAAUGUAGAGAUGUGUACUAUAUUGAAAGUGAAAAAGACAAAGAAUUGAGUAUUCCGUCAUUUGCAAGAUCUACUAUAGCGCAGAAAGUUCGAGAAAGUAAUGUUGAUGACAUAGUAAAUGAAGAGCAAAAGUUAAUAAGUACUUACGAAUUAGUGAAGCAAGAAGAAUAUUAUAAUGCAAUGAUAAGAGAAAAAGAAAAGUGGCAAAAUGAAAAUAAAAAUAAACAAAAAAAUAUAAACAAAGAAACAGCUGUUUCUGAUGCUUCAUUUUUCAACGAAUUAGAAAAAACUAGUAGCAUUAUAACUAUUAAAGAUAUUAAUGAAUGUGAGGAUUAUACAGACAUUCAAACGCUUGAUUCAUUCAUUAAUGAAAAAAAUAAAAUUGACGGAACACAUGUCGGAAGAGGCUUAAAUUUUUUAAAUGGAAACGAAAAAAAAAAUUCAUUAAAACAGUAUGAUGAUAUCAGUUUAGAACUUCUUAUAUGCAAUGUGUUGUUGUCUAAUAUUUCUGAUUAUACAAGAGGGGAAGAAGAUAAACAUGAACAAAUAAAAACUCUUAAUAAAAUAAAUAAUAUUUUUUGUUCGUAUAGUUUUGAAUUAUGCGAUAAUGAAACUGAAAAUAACUUAUAUAAAAAAUUUUAUAAUAUAUGUUAUUUUAAGGAAUAUGAGUUAUUAAGUCAAGUGUUAAAUCAAUUAAUAGACUUGAAUGAAAAUUUUAGUAUAAUUAUAUCUUACAAUGCUUUUGAAUUUUUUCACAUAUGGAAGUUAUUUUACCCAGUUAUAUCGAGCUCAAAUCAUGAUGAGGGCGUGUUUAAUUUAAUUAUGAAUUAUUUGAAACAGUUUUUAAGUUAUAUAAAAAUAAAUAACAUAACAACAAACCAAAUUUUAUGUAAUAUGAUAUUAAAAAGUUUGCUUACCAUGAACCACACAGUAUACAAAGACAUAACAUGUUUUUGUGAAUUAAUUAUUUUGAUAAUAAAAAAAGAUAAAGACACAUUAAUAAAUAUUUUACUACUGAUUAAAAACACUAUGCCAUGUGAUUUUUUUUAUCUUUUCUUAUCGAAAACUUUAUAUCAUUUAUUAAACUCGUCUUCUUAUGUAACAACAAAUAAAUAAAUAAAUAAAUAAAUAAAUAAAUAAAUAAAUAAAUAAG